GAUGAACGCUCGCUACAGGCUUAACACAUGCAAGUCGAGGGGAAACGACAUCGAAAGCUUGCUUUUGAUGGGCGUCGACCGGCGCACGGGUGAGUAACGCGUAUCCAACCUGCCCAUCACUUGGGAAUAACCUUGCGAAAGUAAGACUAAUACCCAAUGACAUCCCACGAAGACAUCUGAAUGGGAUUAAAGAUUUAUCGGUGAUGGAUGGGGAUGCGUCUGAUUAGCUUGUUGGCGGGGUAACGGCCCACCAAGGCAACGAUCAGUAGGGGUUCUGAGAGGAAGGUCCCCCACAUUGGAACUGAGACACGGUCCAAACUCCUACGGGAGGCAGCAGUGAGGAAUAGUGGUCAAUGGGCGAGAGCCUGAACCAGCCAAGUAGCGUGCAGGAUGACGGCCCUAUGGGUUGUAAACUGCUUUUAUAAGGGAAUAAAGUGGGUCUCGUGAGACUUUUUGCAUGUACCUUAUGAAUAAGGACCGGCUAAUUCCGUG
This 492-nucleotide ribosomal RNA is filed under the name uncultured bacterium. Its description in RNAcentral is "partial 16S ribosomal RNA". It matches the Rfam family "Bacterial small subunit ribosomal RNA", at positions 28 to 507 of the family's 1533-position model. The record is from RNAcentral.